GCUUCAGUAGCUCAGUGGUAGAGCAUUCCCUUGGUAAGGGAAAGGCCAUGGGUUCAAUCCCCAUCUGAAGCU
This 72-nucleotide transfer RNA is filed under the name Chloroflexota bacterium. RNAcentral's name for it is "Chloroflexi bacterium (sediment metagenome) tRNA-Thr". It matches the Rfam family "tRNA". Rfam says of the family: Transfer RNA (tRNA) molecules are approximately 80 nucleotides in length. Their secondary structure includes four short double-helical elements and three loops (D, anti-codon, and T loops). Lineage: Bacteria; Bacillati; Chloroflexota. The record is from RNAcentral.